CUACUUUGUGGUGUGCUUUUAAUACUAUCAAUUGUAGGUUAGUUGAAAUUGAAGUUGGUUGAAAUUGAUUAAAAUUUUGGUAGAAUUUGGGAACUGGAAAUUUUAGUUGAAAUUGAAGUUGGUAGAAUUUGGGAACUGAAAAUUUUUGGUUGAAACUUUGAUGUUGGUUGAAAUUGAAGUUGAAGCAAAUAACAUGGAUAUUUUUUUAUAUAUCACCAGUUGUUUUAUCUCUUUUUUUUAAUUAUUCUAUUUUUUAGUCCGACAUUGCACCAAACGCUUCACUAAGUCAGUCUAGCUUAGUCUAGUCUAAGCCAGUCCAGCUUAGUCCCUGAAGUUAAUCCACUCCGAGAUAGUCUGGUGCAACAAACGCACCCUAAAGGGACAAUUGCUCACCCCCAAAAUCUAACCACACAUACCGAUAUUCAAAGAAAACAGAACAUUAUCUUCUUCAACUUCAAGUAAUCUAUUAAAUAGGUUUGGUUAGUGCUGGACAAAGCUGCCGAUAGAUACCAAAACGUUGAUAUCAAAUAUUUUUAUUUUCGGGCUAAUUGAAAAAAUUCUGGUAUGUAAAUAUCAUAGGGCGCCACAGGUAUUGUUGUAUUAUUGCUGCUGCCUGCAAUAAGAGUUGUCCAUUUAUCAUAACAGACAAAGGAAAGAAAGCGAUAAUGCAAGAAAGUGAAGUGACAUUUAUCUGCAAAUAGAAAGGGAUCCAAAUCAAGAAACUGCCCUCAAAAUUUAUAAUAAUUCAUCUUUAUCUUCCUCCUUUUUUGGGUUAAAAAAUUAACCUCUAUCUUGUUCUAUAACAAAGUUAAGAUGAUAACAAUCCAAUUACCACUCAUUCCAUUAAUUUUUCUCCUGCUUUGCUUUUUUGCAGUGUCAAUUAACAAGAGAAUGAAAAAGAUCAAAAGAGAAAUUAAACUAUAUAUAUAUAUAUAUAUAUGCAUAUGUCUAAAGUACAAAUAUCUUUCUUUGAUGUCUGGUUUUCUCCUGUUGCAGAUGUACAUCUUCAAAAACAUUAGUGUUGCGAGAGCCACGCCUACUAGUGUUAGCAUUACUACUCUUAGUAAGGCUGCAACGAUAUAGGCCACGCCUAUAGGAUGUUAUCAUUUGCUUGGUAGAAGCCUCUAAUUCCUUCAUGUCAUCAAUAACAAUCUGUCUGUUCCUGCACUCUAUGCUGCAAAAACCUAGAUCACCUCUGCAUUCAAAAUUGUAAACGAUCUCAGUAACUAAUCAAUAUAUAUCAGAAUCAUAAUAUAAACUCCUAAAAAUUAAAAUUCUGGUGGUAGAAAUAUUUUAUACGACAAAGUAUAUAUGCAUCACUCAGCUAAAAACAUUUCAGAAUGAAAUAUGAAGUUACCAGCUUAAGAUGGAGAGUUUUUCCCUUUAUUCUUAGAAGAAUAUAAUCAUAGAGAGAAACGAUUUCUAGACGCCCUAUUUUCUUCUAGCCUUUGGGUUGAAUUAAAUAUUCUGUAAAUUAAUUUUUACCUGUACAUGUAGACCUCUCUAUCAAGGCUUAAUCCCUUGUUGCAUAAGUGACAUGUUUUAAGAAAGCAAGAGAAUUGCUCGAGGGAGCUGCAGGUUGUGGAUUGGCUCAGUCUUAAUGCAGAUUUCUCAAUGAUAUUUGUCUUAUUUCUUUGUGAAUUCUGUACAAGGAUUCCCAAUCCAACAGCCACUGAGCUCCCAUGGCUGGUUUUAUCACUGAUGCCCAGCUUAUGGGCAGCUGGCUCGAUCAAGUUGCAGGGCCUCUUGAACUUGGAAACCAUCGUUUGUGGGGGGGUUAGAGAGAAGAAGACGAAAACUGAAGAGGGCUGUGAAGAAGAAAACUGAAGAGGGAUGUGAAGUUUACAAGGUUGAGAUAUUAGAUAUUUAAAAGCACCAUACAACUUAUACAAGUCUUCCGUCCACACAGAAGAUAUAUAAUAUUUAUAGGAGAUGGAUCCCAUCGUAAGGAUCCUCUCAUCCUAACCGUUUAUCGUACAUCAUGCAGUCAUAAAUCAUUUUGAAUUUAUUUAUUUAAAAUUAAACACAAAUAAUACAUAACGAAAAUUGAACGUAUGAUAUAUAAUGAACGGUCAUAAUAUAAAGAUUCUUAAGAUUCCCAUAAAGAGGAUCGAAGAGAAAUCUCAUCUAUAUUUAUAUAAAAAUAAAAAAAUAUACAGACACAUGUAAACUGCUUUGCUUUUGUUAAUGGGAUUGUGCCACGUGCUGCACUUUUGGUUGCUCUCUGAUCUAUCUUUUACCGCGUCUGCAUUCCCUUGUAGGGUUUAAAGCAAUAGUUAAAGUUAGAAUUGGGGUUUGAGUUUUGGAGUUGAAAUGCAUUAUUGACACCCUUUGCUUGUUUGGCCCUACCAUAAAACGAGGGAAGUUUUUGUUUGGUGCAACAUGAGAAACGUGAUAAUUGUGAAAUAAGUACCCUUAAUAAAAAAAUUCACUUUCCCUGUCACCCCCACCAAUUCAUGAAGUAUGCAACUCCACUACAGAAGUUUAAAAAAAAAAUUAGCUUGUUUUGGAAAUACAAUGAAUAAGCAAUCUCAUUUUAUUAUAUAAUAGUCCUUUAAGACAACGGUUUAGGGAUAUGCAUUUUUACUUGUAAAUAAAAGGUCUUACAUUCGAAUCUCAUGAAUGGUAAGUUAAAAACCAAUUUAUUUCUUCAUUCGUUAGUGUAAAUACAUAGUUGGAUCAAAAAUAUAUAUUAUAACGUAGGUAUAUAAGACCAAAGUAAAUUAAAAUUAUUCUCCCCGAUCGAACAUUGGAAAAUUUCUAUCAUUAUGCCUUUGCAAUGUUACUUGGUUUAACUCUAUUUGUUGGCAGAGGGAAAAAAGUAUCAACAAAAAGAAAAGGAAAGCCUAUUUCUAGCUAGGAGUUUAUAUAAAUAACUAGGGUUGGCACAUUGAUUUUGAAAUUAAAUAUGAAACAUUUUUAAAUGGAGUAAUUAGGUUUUCAUCCUUAUUUUUACUACUCUAUUGAUUAAAACCUUAUUACUUUUCAAUUUUUGAUCAAGGUCCUUUGUAUUAAUAAUAUCAUUAAUUAUUUCAAUAAUAAAAUAUUUUUUAUUUCUAAAUAUAUUCAUUUAAUAUUAAAAAUAUUACAAUUAGUAUAUUUAUAUUUAUGGCUAAAUUUUUUAUCAUAUAUUUUUAUUUUUAGUUUGUACCCAUUUUUAAUUUGCAACCCUUUUUUAAUUUGUACCAAUUUUCCUUUCAGUUUUAAUUUGUACCCAUAUAUUAAUUUCUUUUUGUGCCCAUAUUUUUUAAAGUUUUAUUUGUAUUGUACCCAUAUUUUUUUAUUUAUUUGUACCCAUUUUUAUUUUUGCUAAAUGUACCCAUUUUGAAGAAUGUACCCAUGUUUUGAUACAAUAAUUUUUUGGUUAUUUUUUAUGAAUGUACCCAUGUUUACACACACACACACAAUAGUAUAUUUAUAUUUUAAUAUUUUUAAUCCCACAAAUUAUGGUUUUUUAUUUAAAAUGACACACCCCGUCCCGAAGGAGGGCAUGUUGGCCGUCACGUGAGAGUGACGUAACCAUUUGCACAGUACGGAAGCUUUAAGAUACAAUUUAAAUUGAUACACCCGAAGGUGAGUCCUAAUUUUGUCCAAUCUGUCAGAACACCGUCGAAUUCCUCGUAGUCACCACACCUUUGUGAUUCCUGAACCUGGAGGGGCGCAAAACCAAAAUUGAGUGGGUCAGUAAAACAAUUCUUUUCCAAAUCCAAACAUUUCUCAAAACGUUGUAACCCCUCUCCGUAAAACCUGUAUACUUUCCCAGAAAUGUAAAAUAUAAAUAUACAUAUAUAUUCUCAAACUUCAUUUUUACUAUCUCAACAUUUUUCUUUAUCAAUCAUGCCAUGCCAUGUCAUCUCAACAUUUCUCAUAUUAAUUAUGCCAUGCCACAUCAUCUCAACAGUAAUAAGGUAUGAAUGCAUCAACAUAAUCAUAUCAGGUGCAAGAAAGUAAUCAACCGUAGGCCCUCUAAUAGCCCUAUACGGUUGAACCUAGAGCUCAAAAUCUAUCAUUAUCACUCUACCGGAGUCACCUCUGUGACCCGUCCGGCCUUCUGCACACAAGUUACGCUCUAGUGCUUCUCAUAAAUCAUCUGUGCACAUAAUCUAAGGUCACCCACCAGUCGGAAUCUCACUAACACUCUCGCGACUGGUCUGUCGUACCCACUCCGCGUGGACUGUACGACUAGCAUCUACUUGGAUCCAAGGCGAGCGUGCGAUGCGGUGAAUACUAUAAGCACUAAACCAUGGUGCAGGAUUUGAGCUCAAUAUAUAUCAUCAUCAUCAUAACAGUAAUUAAAUAUUCAUCUGUGCGUCCACCGCACCAUUUCAUACAUAUGCAUCAUAAAUCAAUUCUUACCUGUGCGUCCACCGCACCAAUUCAUACAUAUGCAUCAUAUAUUAAUUCAUGCAUGGCAUUUCAACUCACAUUUCUAUAUACUUUUCAUAUCAAUUCUAUGCAUGGUAUUUCACUUCCCGUUUUUCCACAUAACUCAUAUGCAUUUCAUUUUAAACAUAAUUUCAUGCAUUUUCAAUUUCUGGGAAAACGUUAAGUAUAUAUAUAUAUAUACGGAAAACAAAACUGCCCACUCACCUGGAGUUCGUCCAACAACUCCCUAGCACCACACAUCAAGGCGUCAUGACGAUCGCCGCCUAGAAUAGUAAUCAAAUCCAGGCUCAGAAUUCAUAUCGAUAGAAUACAUAACUUAUAUAAAAUACGUCACUACGUUGAUCGAUCCGGAAGAUCUGCCACUCAGAUUUUAAAUCCAUAACUUCCAAAGGUCCACACUAUACCUCUAGGACAACAUCCUAAAAUUUCAUUACCAUCCAACGGUCGGAUCUCCGUCAAUUUCCAAAACUAAGUGACGGUUAACAUUUUAUAUUAUGGACUUACAAUUCCAAUUCCGGAAGAUCCGUAACUCGGAUUCCCAAUCCGUAAGUUCCAAUAAUCCUCAAAUAUUACGUAUUACAACGUAUCAAAGUUUGGUGACGAUCCAACGGUCGGAUCAUCAAUUCACAUUUUCACCUAAAUGUGAAAACUAUAAAACGUUAUUUGAACACCUAACCAACAAUCUUCAAUAACUUUCUCAUACGGUGUACAAUUUAGGUAUAUGAAUAUACCACAGUGAUCUACUCGACGUCACGGACGUCGACAUAUUUUUAAAAUAAUUUUAUUUUUAUUUUUUAUUUUUACUGUAGCACCUUCUUCUUCCUUGGGUCGCCGGACUGGUUUUUCCGGCGGCCGUUUUCUGGGCAGUUUUUCAAAUUGCUAUAACUUUGUCAUUUCUCAACGAAAUCAAGUGAUUCAAAAACGAAAGUUGUAGCCCUUGAAGAGACAAAGAGAAUUGUACCUUGCACAACACCUAGUUCGCCGUAGUUUGGCCGGAAACUGCCUCGAAAGCCUCGGAGGUCGCCGGAAACUGGGUAUUUUUCAAAUGAGUAUAACUUCUUCAAUACUCAACGAAAUUGAGUGAAAAAAAAAGGAAAGUUGUAGUACUUGACGAGACGAAGAGAUUGAUACCUACCUCGACUCCUAAAUCGCCGGAGAUUCGCCGGAAAAUGCCUCGAAAGCUCCGGCCAAACUUUGAACUUGUCGAUCUCCGUGUUUUUACGUCCAAAAACUUCCAACGAAGCACUCCGAGCUUCCUUGGGACCUCACUAAGCUCGCUGUGAUCUUGUUUUAGCCUAAAUCGUAACCAUUUAAAAGAUCAUGAACAGUACCAUUUCACGGGAACUUUGAAACUAGGGUUUUUCGAAGCAAAACUUACCUGAAAUUGGUGUCUACGUGAUCGUGGAAGUUCCAGGAGUCCAAAUGUGGUCUUAUCUUGGACGUUUGUUUAUGUUUUAGGUGGUUUUGGGUGAGGUUGAGCGUCGGAGAGGAAGAGAGAGAACUGAGAGUGAGAGAGAGUCGUGAGGGAAGAGAGAUAGAGAGACAAGGUACGGGAAUUGGGGAAGGUUUUGAGGGAUGUGGGGAUCCCACGUGUCCAACUCAAUCCAAAUUGUUAAAUUUUCGCCCCUUAGUCCCGUUUAAGGGCAUUUUCGUCUUUUCAUGUCCUCAGAAUUAAAAUUCCGGGACGGGCUGUGACAAUCUUCCCUCCUUAUAGAAUUUCGUCCCCGAAAUUCCAGCAACCAACUAAAUCAACCAUACUCCAACAAUAGCUUCGGGUAAAUCUUUCUCAUCCGAUUCUCUUUCUCCCACAUACUUUUCUACUGAAUGAUUUCCUUCACAAAGCUUUACUACUUACUCUGUCUUAAUUCUCAGGACCUUCUUUUUCCAAUCCAAAGUCGUCCUUGGUUCCUUAUCAAGUCGAAUCCAAUUUAAUUCUCAAUAGUUACACCAUAAUCCCAUGUGACAAAUCUGCCACCUAGUGACAACGCAUCGAACACAAAAUACAUUAUGUGCCUUAGCCAAUUCUGAAGGCAUCACAAACUUGUAUGCAGCUUCAUCGAUUCUUUUAAUGAUCAAAACGGUCUGAUGUGUUUAAAUCUUAUCUUGUCUCUUUUCCAAUUCUCUUCAUUUCUGUUCGUGGUGAAUUUUCCAAAAAUAUCAAACCAUUUACCUUACACACACUCGAUUAGUGGCAUAUCCAUCUGUUGAUCUCUUUUGCCAUUCCUGGUUACUUCAGGUUAACUUAAUCACCUGAAUACUUUGAGGAGACUCAUCCAUAGUCUCAGGGUCUACUAAAACUCUUUCUUGAUCGAAUCUUUCUCUACCCAGAAACAUUCCAUUCACAAGUCAUCAAAAACCGACUCACGUGACACAUUUCAUGGUCCUUAUGGCGUUACUUCGGAAACUGCACAACCAACAUACUUAAGAAACUUAGCAGUUCCGUAAUCCAAUUCUCUUUUCCAUAAAACAAAUAAGUAGUGUUGCACUGUCUGGGAAAGGUUGUUACUCAACACUGGGGUAAAUGUACUAACUUGUUACUUAACAAGUAUAACUUCUUCUCGAUCUUCCAUUCUUAAUUUUUCUUCCGUUGGUUUUCAAUCCACAAAAUGAUACUCUUGGCAAACGUGCCAGAUAUUAAUCUUACUGUAGUCUUCUCACCAAGUGCUUCAGCUAGAACAAACUUUACGAUCACCCUGAUCGUACAAUCAUGUUCAUUAAGCAAUACAAUUCACUUUCGCUGCCUCAUAUCAAAUUCCUUCCAAGUAAUGGAUAUUGAAGACUUUUUGGAUUCGUAAAAAAAAAUCUUGCAUUCCCACUAAAAUAUAAUGUCUCCAUAACUUCACAGCAAGAAUGGUAAUCGUGACUUCCAAAUCACCAGUAGGGUAAUUCAUCUUAUGAGAUUCCAUUUAUCGUGAAACGUAUGCAAUCACCCUAACAUUUGCAUCAACAUGCCUCCAAUACCAUUCAAGAAACAUCACUAAAAAUUUAUGAUUACCACUAUUCUCUGGGAAUACCAAAAUACGUGCAUGAGUGAGGAAAUACUUCAGUUGUUGAAUCCUUUGCUUACAAUUCCUUCCCACUCAUACCUAACCUCUUUUCUCAACAGUCUCGUCAAUGACAAAGCAAUGACUGAAAAAUCUUUCACAACCAUCCAAGAUAGCCUGGUAAGCUAAGAAAUUCCAAAUCUCAAUUACGACUCGUGGUUGUUCCAAAUUUUAAUUUCUGUUACCUUUUAAGGAUUCACUUGAAUACCUUAAGAAUAUAUAACAUAUCCCAGAAAUGCUGCUUGAUUCAUCCAACAUUCGCAUUUGCUAAACUUAGCAUACAAUCGACAUUCUUCCAAUCUUUGUUCUACCGACUUAAUACGUUUACAUGCUCUGCUCUGGCUCAGAAUAUGCCAGAAUAUCUUCAAUGAAAAUGAUAUCAAUUAUCAAGGCAUUAUUGGAAUACUUCAUCCAUCAACUCAUAAAACCGCAUGAGUAUCCACAUAGCAUCACCAAAACUUUAUAAGGACCAUAACAAGUCCAGAAACCAUCUUAUGAUCAACGUCACUUAUAAUAUUCAAUUGGUAGUAACCAGAUCUCAAUUCAAUCUUUGAAUCUUCGCAAUUACUUCUGAGCUGGUUAAAUAAACAUCAGUACAUCACCAUGGAUAACGGUUCUCAAUCGUUACCCGACUCCAUUGUCUAUAAUCAAUGAACAGUCUCAAGAUCCAUUUUCUUCCUCACCAACAAACUGGGGCUCCUCAAAAGUGUUGUACUAGGUUGAAUAAAACUUUUAUCAACCAAUUCCCUCAACUGAAUUUCCAAUUCCCUUAACUCAUCAUGAACCAAUCUCCAAUAUAAAUUUAUACCUGGCAACAAAUCAAUAGUGAACCUCAUAUCUCUGCCUGAAGGCAAUCCAGGUAUACUUUCAGGGAAGACAUCAAGAAAAGUCUAACUCUUUCGACAUUAUUCACACUACUCCAAACAACAUCAUUUAGCACCACAUGAGCUAAGUAUUUUUGACAGCCUUUCGAAAACAAUCUCUUUGCUCUCACAGCAUAAAUAAUGACUGAACUCAAUCCACUUUGCAUACUUACAAAAGUAAUCUCUGGUCAUCCAGAUCGAUGGAAAGUACUGGUUUCCCAUAACAUUUCGUCUUGUCACAAUUAUAACCAACCAAUCUAAUGGAACAGAAUUAACUGAUACAAUAUAUAUUCUAUUAUUAUUAAGCAUUCCAAAUAAGUACAAUACUAACAUAAAAUAAUCUACCGGUUUACUUACUUAACGAAUCCACGAAUGAGUUAUUAAUAUUACGGUCUGCAGCCCGCAAUACUGAUAAAUCAUCGUUGUCUCGAUAAGUAGGCAACCACUCACAAAGAUAUAACAUUACUAUUUUGUCACUCAAUGCAAAAUACAUACACUCGUCUCAACUACAUUUAUUUACUACUCUCUAGGUAAUAACAUACAUAAUAAGAAAUAUAUCAGCCGAAGUCAACUAGAAUGACCAAUACGGCUGAUUCAACUCUUAUCUCAAUAAUACGUCGGCCGGAUCCACUCCGCGUGGUCGGUACGGCCGAGCCUAUAACUCACCAAUUUCUCAUGUGUCAAUCGAAUCCACUUCUCAUGGUCUGUACGGCUGAACAUAUAACUCAUCAAAUCUCUCUGUACUCACGGUCAAUCCGACCAAACUACUAAAUCCAUAACUCUGCUGAAUCAACACUAUGAUGUCAUAGAAAACUGUUGGGUACAACUGAUUCUAGGGACGAUUCACAAUUCUGUGUCCCCUCUGUUCACAUAAACACAUUCAUUAAUUUCACACUUCCCAAAGUGUUAAUUUUGUACCUGCUGCACAAGGUACAUUUCCUUUACUCGAGACACCUUGUCUCAAAUAUCUGGGAUUACUAGUAUAUCCAUCACUUUUACUCUGACCAGCGACAUUAAAACCUCAGCUGGAAGAAUUAACUCUAGCUUCACUUCUUUCGAAGCUCUGAAUCUUUCUAUAUCCUUGAUAUGACGAAUCAUUAACUUUAUCGUCUUCUUUUAAUUCCCAUUCAUUUCUUAUUCUUCUUUAUUCUCGUUGCUCAUGUUCUCAGAGUCCUCAAGACUCAACAGCAUCUCGUAUAUUCCUGGUAAGAAGUAUAAUGGAUAGUGGUCACCCAAAAUACCACUUCCCUUUUUGCCACCCAGCUUAAAACAACAUAACACCUCCACCAAAUUAACAACAAUAUCUGGAUGGAACGAGGCAAGUCUGAAAACUUUCUAUAAUAUCCCUCGAUCAUCACCUUCCUUGUCUCAUAUUUGUAAACUCUUGUUUACUACCAUCGAUAAAUGUCGGAGGGAUAAACUUUUCCUUAAACAAGUCCUUAAACAAUUUUAAAUCGGCUGAUUCCUCUGGUGACAACAAUUAAUACUCCUGCUUCCAUCAGGAUACACGUUCAUAACUCAAACCAGGUAGUCAUCUCGACCCCUUGUCAGAAGGAAGAUUCCUUUGACUUGCAUAAUCCGAAACAUCUUUUCCAAAUGGUUAAACCGUUACUUCGCUCCCUCAGGUUCAUCAUUUCUCUUAAGUGAUUCAAAUUCAACUCAUAACCCGUCUUAAAAUGUCCAUUUUUCUAAUAUACUGAAUCACCAUAAGAAUAGUUUCCCCUAACCCGCUAAAUCAGGGAGACUAAGUUCCUCUAACUACGUGGUUUGCUACGAGGCGGUGUAGUUCUGACAGAAUUCACUAGAAACUUCUCAAGAUGUCCAAGAUUGCAACCAUGCUCUGAUACCAACUGACACACCCCGUCCCGAAGGAGGGCAUGUUGGCCGUCACGUGAGAGUGACGUAACCAUUUGCACAGUACGGAAGCUUUAAGAUACAAUUUAAAUUGAUACACCCGAAGGUGAGUCCUAAUUUUGUCCAAUCUGUCAGAACACCGUCGAAUUCCUCGUAGUCACCACACCUUUGUGAUUCCUGAACCUGGAGGGGGCGCAAAACCAAAAUUGAGUGGGUCAGUAAAACAAUUCUUUUUCCAAAUCCAAACAUUUCUCAAAACGUUGUAACCCCUCUCCGUAAAACCUGUAUACUUUCCCAGAAAUGUAAAAUAUAAAUAUACAUAUAUAUUCUCAAACUUCAUUUUUACUAUCUCAACAUUUUUCUUUAUCAAUCAUGCCAUGCCAUGUCAUCUCAACAUUUCUCAUAUUAAUUAUGCCAUGCCACAUCAUCUCAACAGUAAUAAGGUAUGAAUGCAUCAACAUAAUCAUAUCAG
This 10619-nucleotide long non-coding RNA is filed under the name Malus domestica (apple). RNAcentral describes it as "long non-coding RNA (MDOM_LNC017432)". Lineage: Eukaryota; Viridiplantae; Streptophyta; Magnoliopsida; Rosales; Rosaceae. The record is from RNAcentral.